This 782-nucleotide small RNA is filed under the name Pan troglodytes (chimpanzee). RNAcentral's name for it is "processed transcript". Lineage: Eukaryota; Metazoa; Chordata; Mammalia; Primates; Hominidae. The record is from RNAcentral.
AGACUUUAAAAAUGAAAGUCACAUAUUCUACAAAAAACAUUCACAUUCAUAAAAAUACCCUUAAACAAAAUACAAAUUAAUUUUUUUCUUUCCAGUAGAGGGGGCAGUGAUUACCUGGCAUUGUUGCAAAACAAAAGUUAAGCUUGCCAUUAUUGUAGUUACAAUUUUUAAUAUAAUUUUUGCAGUUAUCUCUCAGUAACUUUUUAUUAUAUACUAUUUAAUUAUGAAUGUCAGGGUCUGAAAAAUACAUGAUCAAUUCAGGAUUGGUUGUAACUUUUAAAAAAAGAUACUUACAUUGACUUGUUGUUAUCUAAAAUGUCUUUAUUAUGUAGACACAUCACCUUCACUUUGGGAUGUGGAAUUUGCUAAGCAGUUAGCCACAGUAAAUGAACAACCCCUUCAGAAUGGAUUUGAAGAGCUGAUCCAGUGGACAAAAGAGGGGAAACUAUGGGAGUUCCCAAUUAACAAUGAAGCAGGUUUUGAUGAUGAUGGUUCAGAAUUUCAUGAACAUAUAUUUCUGGAGAAACACCUGGAGAGCUUUCCAAAACAAGGACCAAUUCGCCACUUCAUGGAGCUGGUGACUUGUGGCCUUUCCAAAAACCCAUAUCUUAGUGUUAAACAGAAGGUUGAGCACAUAGAGUGGUUUAGAAAUUAUUUUAAUGAAAAAAAGGAUAUUCUAAAAGAAAGUAACAUACAGUUCAAUUAAGACCAUGGAAAUUUUUAUUUCAAACAAUUAGAGAUGGAUAUUACAACUAAAUAAAAUAAUUUUACUAGAGUUUGUA